AACUUUCCAGAGAUGGAUUUGGUGCCUUUCGGGAACUGUGAGACAGGUGCUGCAUGGCUGUCGUCAGCUCGUGUUGUGAAAUGUUGGGUUAAGUCCCGCAACGAGCGCAACCCUUAUCCUUUGUUGCCAGCGGUCCGGCCGGGAACUCAAAGGAGACUGCCAGUGAUAAACUGGAGGAAGGUGGGGAUGACGUCAAGUCAUCAUGGCCCUUACGACCAGGGCUACACACGUGCUACAAUGGCGCAUACAAAGAGAAGCAAACUCGCGAGAGCAAGCGGACCUCAUAAAGUGCGUCGUAGUCCGGAUUGGAGUCUGCAACUCGACUCCAUGAAGUCGGAAUCGCUAGUAAUCGUGAAUCAGAAUGUCACGGUGAAUACGUUCCCGGGCCUUGUACACACCGCCCGUCACACCAUGGGAGUGGGUUGCAAAAGAAGUAGGUAGCUUAACCUUCGGGAGGGCGCUUACCACUUUGUGAUUCAUGACUGGGGUGAAGUCGUAACAAGGUAAGCGUAGAUGA
Molecule: ribosomal RNA, 517 nt
Filed under: uncultured bacterium
Lineage: Bacteria
Description: bacterial SSU rRNA
Rfam family: Bacterial small subunit ribosomal RNA
Source: RNAcentral